This 486-nucleotide ribosomal RNA is filed under the name uncultured bacterium. Its description in RNAcentral is "bacterial SSU rRNA". It matches the Rfam family "Bacterial small subunit ribosomal RNA", at positions 360 to 860 of the family's 1533-position model. The record is from RNAcentral.
AAUAUUGCGCAAUGGGCGAAAGCCUGACGCAGCGACGCCGCGUGUGGGAUGACGGCCUUCGGGUUGUAAACCACUGUCGGGAGGGACGAAGCUCUGACGGUACCUCCAAAGGAAGCACCGGCUAACUCUGUGCCAGCAGCCGCGGUAAUACAGAGGGUGCGAGCGUUGUCCGGAAUCACUGGGCGUAAAGGGCGCGUAGGUGGCCUGGUAAGUAGGGGGUGAAAUCUCGCGGCUCAACUGCGAGGCUGCCUCCUAAACUGUCAGGCUCGAGCAGAGUAGAGGCAGGUGGAAUUCCCGGUGUAGCGGUGGAAUGCGUAGAGAUCGGGAAGAACAUCGGUGGCGAAGGCGGCCUGCUGGGCUCUUGCUGACACUGAUGCGCGACAGCGUGGGGAGCAAACAGGAUUAGAUACCCUGGUAGUCCACGCCGUAAACGAUGGGUACUAGGCGCCGGGGGGAGCGACCCCUUCGGUGCCGUCGCUAACGCAA